Molecule: long non-coding RNA, 429 nt
Organism: Rhinichthys klamathensis goyatoka
Lineage: Eukaryota; Metazoa; Chordata; Actinopteri; Cypriniformes; Leuciscidae
Exons: 3
Source: RefSeq, a predicted model, not a curated record
AGCCCCUAAUCCUCAGCUGGGAUCGUUCACCAGCCCGUUGAAGCUCUUCAAAUACCUUUGAAACUGCAUCGAUUCUUUCUGACCGCAAAAUUAUGGUAACCAUUGAAGUCCAGUCUGUGGAAAAAAAAUCCCAAAAUGUUUUCCUACAAAAACGUACUUUCUCUUUCACUGAGGAAAGAAAGUCAUGGAUAUCUUGAAUGGCAUUGGGAUUAGCCUGUUGGCAAUGAAAGGUGGGACAGACACCAGAGAUGGAGUUUGGAGAAUUAUGACUGCAACAAUCACAAACUCCCUGGCCAAGAAUAUAAAUAUGCGUGGUGUUAAUGGGAAGAUCAGCUUUAAAAGCUUGCAGUUACGAAACAUUGUUCUUGCUGCUUUGAGAAAAAAUUGCCUCACACAGCAUGCCACUGAGCAAGAGGUAGAAUCAACUGU